UACGAAGGGCGCUAGCGUUGUUCGGAAUGACUGGGCGUAAAGGGCGCGUAGGCGGUUUUAUAAGUUUGAUGUGAAAGCCCUGGGCUUAACCUAGGAAUAGCAUUGGAUACUGUAAGACUAGAGUCCGAGAGGGGGAAAUGGAAUUGUGAGUGUAGAGGUGAAAUUCGUAGAUAUUCGCAAGAACACCAGUGGCGAAGGCGAUUUCCUGGCUCGGUACUGACGCUAAGGCGCGAAAGCGUGGGGAGCAAACAGG
This 253-nucleotide ribosomal RNA is filed under the name uncultured bacterium. Its description in RNAcentral is "partial 16S ribosomal RNA". It matches the Rfam family "Bacterial small subunit ribosomal RNA", at positions 524 to 776 of the family's 1533-position model. The record is from RNAcentral.